This 72-nucleotide transfer RNA is filed under the name Camelus bactrianus (Bactrian camel). It matches the Rfam family "tRNA". Rfam says of the family: Transfer RNA (tRNA) molecules are approximately 80 nucleotides in length. Their secondary structure includes four short double-helical elements and three loops (D, anti-codon, and T loops). The record is from Rfam by way of RNAcentral. RNAcentral also lists the same sequence under 1 other name. Lineage: Eukaryota; Metazoa; Chordata; Mammalia; Artiodactyla; Camelidae.
GUAGGUACAACUCAGUGGUGGAGCAUGAGCUUAGCAAGCACAAGGUCCUGGGUUCAAUCCCCAUUACCUCUG